Molecule: ribosomal RNA, 430 nt
Filed under: Bacillota bacterium
Lineage: Bacteria; Bacillati; Bacillota
Also listed under: 1 other name
Description: Firmicutes bacterium partial 16S ribosomal RNA
Rfam family: Bacterial small subunit ribosomal RNA
Source: RNAcentral
UGGGGAAUAUUGGACAAUGGGCGAAAGCCUGAUCCAGCCAUGCCGCGUGUGUGAAGAAGGCCUUUUGGUUGUAAAGCACUUUAAGCGAGGAGGAGGCUACUUGGAUUAAUACUCUAGGAUAGUGGACGUUACUCGCAGAAUAAGCACCGGCUAACUCUGUGCCAGCAGCCGCGGUAAUACAGAGGGUGCGAGCGUUAAUCGGAUUUACUGGGCGUAAAGCGUGCGUAGGCGGCUUCUUAAGUCGGAUGUGAAAUCCCUGAGCUUAACUUAGGAAUUGCAUUCGAUACUGAGAAGCUAGAGUAUGGGAGAGGAUGGUAGAAUUCCAGGUGUAGCGGUGAAAUGCGUAGAGAUCUGGAGGAAUACCGAUGGCGAAGGCAGCCAUCUGGCCUAAUACUGACGCUGAGGUACGAAAGCAUGGGGAGCAAACAGG